This 217-nucleotide ribosomal RNA is filed under the name uncultured bacterium. Its description in RNAcentral is "partial 16S ribosomal RNA". It matches the Rfam family "Bacterial small subunit ribosomal RNA", at positions 326 to 539 of the family's 1533-position model. The record is from RNAcentral.
ACGCUCGACACCUACGGAAGGCAGCAGUGAGGAAUAUUGGUCAAUGGGCGCUAGCCUGAACCAGCCAAGUAGCGUGAAGGAUGAAGGCUCUAUGGGUCGUAAACUUCUUUUAUAUAAGAAUAAAGUGCAGUAUGUAUACUGUUUUGUAUGUAUUAUAUGAAUAAGGAUCGGCUAACUCCGUGCCAGCAGCCGGGUAAUCUGAGCGGGCUGGCAAGGC